UACAGAGGUCCCAAGCGUUGUUCGGAUUCAUUGGGCGUAAAGGGUGCGUAGGCGGCGCGGUAAGUCGGGUGUGAAAUCUCGGGGCUUAACUCCGAAACUGCAUUCGAUACUGCCGUGCUUGAGGACUGGAGAGGAGACUGGAAUUUACGGUGUAGCGGUGAAAUGCGUAGAUAUCGUAAGGAAGACCAGUGGCGAAGGCGGGUCUCUGGACAGUUCCUGACGCUGAGACACGAAAGCCAGGGGAGCGAACGGG
RNAcentral lists this ribosomal RNA (253 nucleotides) under uncultured bacterium. Its description in RNAcentral is "partial 16S ribosomal RNA". It matches the Rfam family "Bacterial small subunit ribosomal RNA", at positions 524 to 776 of the family's 1533-position model. The record is from RNAcentral.